UACGGAGGGGGUUAGCGUUGUUCGGAAUUACUGGGCGUAAAGCGCGCGUAGGCGGAUUAGCAAGUUAGAGGUGAAAUCCCGGGGCUCAACCCCGGAACUGCCUUUAAAACUGUUAGUCUUGAGUUCGAGAGAGGUGAGUGGAAUUCCGAGUGUAGAGGUGAAAUUCGUAGAUAUUCGGAGGAACACCAGUGGCGAAGGCGGCUCACUGGCUCGAUACUGACGCUGAGGUGCGAAAGUGUGGGGAGCAAAC
This 250-nucleotide ribosomal RNA is filed under the name uncultured bacterium. RNAcentral describes it as "partial 16S ribosomal RNA". It matches the Rfam family "Bacterial small subunit ribosomal RNA", at positions 524 to 773 of the family's 1533-position model. The record is from RNAcentral.